UACGAAGGGUGCAAGCGUUACUCGGAAUUACUGGGCGUAAAGCGUGCGUAGGUGGUGAGUUAAGUCUGUCGUGAAAGCCCCGGGCUCAACCUGGGAAUGGCGAUGGAUACUGGCUCGCUAGAGUGCGGUAGAGGAGAGUGGAAUUCCCGGUGUAGCGGUGAAAUGCGUAGAUAUCGAGAGGAACACCUGCGGCGAAGGCGGGUUGCUGGGCUGACACUGACGCUGAAGUGCGAAAGCUAGGGGAGCGAACGGG
This 253-nucleotide ribosomal RNA is filed under the name uncultured bacterium. Its description in RNAcentral is "partial 16S ribosomal RNA". It matches the Rfam family "Bacterial small subunit ribosomal RNA", at positions 524 to 776 of the family's 1533-position model. The record is from RNAcentral.